This 76-nucleotide transfer RNA is filed under the name Caudoviricetes sp. RNAcentral's name for it is "tRNA-Lys". It matches the Rfam family "tRNA". From Rfam's summary of the family: Transfer RNA (tRNA) molecules are approximately 80 nucleotides in length. The record is from RNAcentral. Lineage: Duplodnaviria; Heunggongvirae; Uroviricota; Caudoviricetes.
ACUUCCGUAGCUCAGUUGGUAGAGCACGGCACUUUUAAUGCUGGGGUCACGAGUUCGAACCUCGUCGGGAGUACCA